AUAUUGCACAAUGGAGGGAACUCUGAUGCAGCAACGCCGCGUGAGUGAAGAAGGUUUUCGUAUCGUAAACCCCUGUCAUUGGGGGAGAAUACAUGACGGUACCCACUGACGAAGCUCCGGCUAACUACGUGCCAGCAGCCGCGGUAAUACCUAGGGGGCGAGCGUUGUCCGGAAUUACUGGGCGUAAAGGGUACGUAGGCGGCUAUAUAAGUCAGGUGUGAAAUACCAGUGAGUAACACGGGAAUUGCAUUUGAAACUGUGUAGCUUGAGUGCAGGGGAGGAAAGUGGAAGUCCUAGUGUAGCGGUGAAAUGCGUAGAGAUUAGGAGGAACACCAGUGGCGAAGGCGACUUUCUGGACUGUAACUGACGCUGAAGUACGAAAGCGUGGGUAGCGAACA
Molecule: ribosomal RNA, 398 nt
Filed under: uncultured bacterium
Lineage: Bacteria
Description: partial 16S ribosomal RNA
Rfam family: Bacterial small subunit ribosomal RNA
Source: RNAcentral